UGGGGAAUUUUGGACAAUGGGGGCAACCCUGAUCCAGCCAUUCCGCGUGAGUGAAGAAGGCCUUCGGGUUGUAAAGCUCUUUCAGCUGGAACGAAACGGUGCGCUCUAACAUAGCGUGCUAAUGACGGUACCAGCAGAAGAAGCACCGGCUAACUACGUGCCAGCAGCCGCGGUAAUACGUAGGGUGCGAGCGUUAAUCGGAAUUACUGGGCGUAAAGCGUGCGCAGGCGGAUUGUUAAGCAAGACGUGAAAUCCCCGGGCUUAACCUGGGAAUGGCGUUUUGAACUGGCAGUCUAGAGUGCGUAAGAGGGGGGUGGAAUUCCACGUGUAGCAGUGAAAUGCGUAGAGAUGUGGAGGAACACCGAUGGCGAAGGCAGCCCCCUGGGAUGACACUGACGCUCAUGUACGAAAGCGUGGGUAGCAAACAGG
Molecule: ribosomal RNA, 429 nt
Filed under: bacterium
Lineage: Bacteria
Description: partial 16S ribosomal RNA
Rfam family: Bacterial small subunit ribosomal RNA
Source: RNAcentral